Long non-coding RNA from Eublepharis macularius, 2179 nucleotides. RefSeq lists it as uncharacterized. The transcript has 4 exons. NCBI's taxonomy places the organism in Eukaryota, Metazoa, Chordata, Lepidosauria, Squamata, Eublepharidae. The record is from RefSeq and is a predicted model, not a curated record.
UCUUGACGAAGUGUUAAAAAUACAACGACUCUCCUCGUGAUUGGAGUUCUUCCUUGUCAAUCAAAGCGGAGGGCAUCUUUAUACAAAGGACGGUGAUACUUUUUUUUGUUGUUUGUGGGAAGAAGGAAGGGGAAGCUCCAUUGGAGGUUGCCUGUUUCCGUUUCCGGCCGUUGAUCUUGUGGGUGAGAUUUGCCGGUCGGGCUUUCAAUGAGCUUGUGAGAGAAUAACAUGGGAAGAUUUGUAACAAAGAAGAAAGACGUAUAUAAAGAAAACGAGAAGUCCAGUGCCCUUUGGACAACAAAAUACUAGUAGGAAAGAAUUCUGAAUACAUCCAUCAUGGCAUAGUUGCUGCUCCAGAAAAAUGCAGGUUAAGGUAUCAUUACAUCACAAGCACAGAAACACAUUUGACAAACUGGAGAAGAGUCAAAGAUAACUGAAGGCAAAAUAUCUGAAGUGCAGAUGUGUCUUGAAGAUAAAACUCAGAAGGUCUCAGCAAGCAUUGAUUGGAGCUCAGAAGACUGGAUUAGAGUGCUGUUCUUUCUCUUAUGGCGAGUUCAUUAAAGAGAGCUUACUGGUGACCUGUGAAGAAGUCUAUCCAGAGAAGAGCUCAUCUUCACCAGCCAGAUCCCUUAAAAGCUGUUAUAGUCUAACAAGUACAUAAUGCUGUUCUUAAUUUUGGAAAGUAGAUGCAGAAGGAAUGAGCUCACUGGUUCUGUGGCUGUACACACAGGCAUCAAAGAGACUCUUAGAUCAGUAGAAUGCUCUUGGUGAGGUGGCCACAUUAGGUGAGAUUGGUGUUCAUGUGCCCUUCAGUCAGGAGCACUGGAACAUCGUGGCUCAACUGGUACAGAUCCUGAAGCCUUCAAGAAUGCCACAGAGACCCUCAGUGCUACCACCACUACUUUGAGCCAGAUGGCGGAAGACCAUUUCCUUGUGGGGUCUUCACAGCAAGUUCAAAUUCUUCUUCUUCUAGUCAAUGUCCAAACAGUUCAAUAAAGCUUUUGAUUCAAGCCAAAUAUGGGAUGUGUGGUCUUUCAAAACUGGACAAAGCCUGAUCGUUCAAAGAUGGGCGGAGCCUGACGGGCGUGUGCCAGCAUUAUAAUCUCGUUUCGUACUAAUCACUUUUUCGAAGGCCCAAUCAUUCAACAAUCAAUACAAAAGCAUGUCAAAUCAGUUUCCAGUGGGUGUGACAUGCAACGGGGGGGAACUUGCUGAUAUUCAAAGUUUGGUGUUCAAAUGGAUGCUUGUCACAUUUCUCAGUUGGCAAAAAUGUUGUCUACAAAUGAAAUUGCAUGUGAGAGGACAGCACAUAUGCUUAGAGAAGCUGCAGCUGGCACUUGAGGAAAUGGUUUGUCAGUACAGAAAUUAAAAGGCUAAUGCUGGACAUGGAUAGUUUCUACACGUUUCCCAAGGAUGUUCAUUAAGAUCUUUGCUUUGAUCUCAGCGCUCACCUCUCUAGAAGAAUAAAUGUACAGGUUGUCUGCUAUGCAACUCUUUGGCUAAAUUGGAAUUCAAGAAUUUGGAACAACAUGCCUAAGUGGCCAUCAUCUGUUGCAAGCACGUAUCUCUGUGAACAAGUAAUUCGGCUUGUCGGAGCAGCUCUGGAUGUUCUCUUUGUUAUGCAGUGCAACUCGCCAAGUGUGAAAUGAAGAUUGGAAAGCUGUCUGCGUAAGUGGAACAUGGUCCUGACUUCCGUGGUUUGGAGCAAUGAACUAUUAGUAAACAGACUUCUUAAAUUGAAUGUAAGAUGAAGGGAGUUGCAAGUCCUUCCAUUCCCAUUACUGAAGAUGAUGUGCUACAAAUGCAACCUGCCAGAAGUGGUGCUAAAUUGCACAGUGAUUACAUGCUCCAUUCCUGUGCACUCAAGAUGAAAUCUUUCAAAGCUACCAGGUUGCAAUUCUUGUAUUACAGCGAACACAUGAAGCUGCCUUCUGCAGAGUCACUGUUGGCCUCUCAAGGUCACUGUUGUCUACUUGAGUGGCCUGGGUCUCAGGCAGAGGCCUUUCAGUUCACCUGACACCUGAUCUGUUUAAUCUGGGGAUUAAACUCUGGCAAAGCAGAUGUUCUACCUCUGAGCCAUGGACUGUCUCCCAGUGUCUUCAGUGUUGUGGCAUUAAACAAUUUUACCAUUUCAGAAUUGAUUGAUUUUGUGUUUAGGUCAUCCAUUGUAUAUUAAAAU